RNAcentral lists this ribosomal RNA (432 nucleotides) under Blastocystis sp. Its description in RNAcentral is "SSU rRNA". It matches the Rfam family "Eukaryotic small subunit ribosomal RNA", at positions 500 to 943 of the family's 1831-position model. The record is from RNAcentral. Lineage: Eukaryota; Bigyra; Opalinata; Blastocystidae.
GUCUUGCAAUUGGAUUGAGAACAACGUACAACUCUUAUCGAUAAGCCAUUGGAGGGCAAGUCUGGUGCCAGCAGCCGCGGUAAUUCCAGCUCCAAUAGCGUAUAUUAACGUUGUUGCAGUUAAAAAGCUCGUAGUUGAAGUGAGGGAGUGUGUGGGUAUGAGAGCUAGUCUCAAGUACUCACAACCUCCCCCCUCCAAUCGGUGUAGUGGGGUAUUCAGUUAUUCUACUACUCCUUUGGUCGUUUACUGUGAGAAAAUUAGAGUGUUCAAAGCGGGCGUUUGUUUGAAUAGAUUAGCAUGGAAUAAUGAUUGAAGGCUUUCGUGUUCGAUUUGAUUGGUUUGUUCAUGGAAGCAAGGUUAAAAGGAACAGUUGGGGGUAUUCAUAUUCACUAGUUAGAGGUGAAAUUCUCGGAUUUAUGGAAGAUGAACAAG